This 251-nucleotide ribosomal RNA is filed under the name uncultured bacterium. RNAcentral describes it as "partial 16S ribosomal RNA". It matches the Rfam family "Bacterial small subunit ribosomal RNA", at positions 524 to 773 of the family's 1533-position model. The record is from RNAcentral.
GACGAACCCGUGCAAACGUUAUUCGGAAUCACUGGGCUUAAAGGGCGCGUAGGCGGGUGAUCAAGUCAAUGGUGAAAUCCUCCAGCUUAACUGGAGAAGUGCCUUUGAUACUGAUUGUCUAGAGGGAGGUAGGGGCAUGUGGAACUUCAGGUGGAGCGGUGAAAUGCGUAGAUAUCUGAAGGAACGCCAGUGGCGAAAGCGAUGUGCUGGACCUCUUCUGACGCUGAGGCGCGAAAGCUAGGGGAUCAAAC